UACGGAGGGUGCAAGCGGUGUUCGGAAUUACUGGGCGUAAAGCGCACGUAGGCGGACUUGAAAGUCAGAGGUGAAAUCCCAGGGCUCAACCUUGGAACUGCCUUUGAAACUUCUGGUCUUGAGGUCGAGAGAGGUGAGUGGAAUUCCGAGUGUAGAGGUGAAAUUCGUAGAUAUUCGGAGGAACACCAGUGGCGAAGGCGGCUCACUGGCUCGAUACUGACGCUGAGGUGCGAAAGCGUGGGGAGCAAACAGG
RNAcentral lists this ribosomal RNA (253 nucleotides) under uncultured bacterium. RNAcentral's name for it is "partial 16S ribosomal RNA". It matches the Rfam family "Bacterial small subunit ribosomal RNA", at positions 524 to 776 of the family's 1533-position model. The record is from RNAcentral.